UACGUAGGGAGCAAGCGUUGUCCGGAUUUAUUGGGCGUAAAGAGCUCGUAGGCGGUCUGUCGCGUCGAUCGUGAAAACUUGGGGCUUAACCCUGAGCUUGCGGUCGAUACGGGCAUGACUGGAGUUCGGCAGGGGAGACUGGAAUUCCUGGUGUAGCGGUGAAAUGCGCAGAUAUCAGGAGGAACACCGGUGGCGAAGGCGGGUCUCUGGGCCGAUACUGACGCUGAGGAGCGAAAGCGUGGGUAGCAAACAGG
RNAcentral lists this ribosomal RNA (254 nucleotides) under uncultured bacterium. RNAcentral describes it as "partial 16S ribosomal RNA". It matches the Rfam family "Bacterial small subunit ribosomal RNA", at positions 524 to 776 of the family's 1533-position model. The record is from RNAcentral.